This 401-nucleotide ribosomal RNA is filed under the name uncultured Bacteroidota bacterium. Its description in RNAcentral is "bacterial SSU rRNA". It matches the Rfam family "Bacterial small subunit ribosomal RNA", at positions 1 to 392 of the family's 1533-position model. The record is from RNAcentral. Lineage: Bacteria; Pseudomonadati; Bacteroidota.
GGAUCCAGACUUUGAUCAUGGCUCAGGAUGAACGCUAGCUACAGGCUUAACACAUGCAAGUCGAGGGGAAACGACAUCGAAAGCUUGCUUUUGAUGGGCGUCGACCGGCGCACGGGUGAGUAACGCGUAUCCAACCUGCCCACCACUUGGGGAUAACCUUGCGAAAGUAAGACUAAUACCCAAUGAUAUCUCUAGAAGACAUCUGAAAGAGAUUAAAGAUUUAUCGGUGAUGGAUGGGGAUGCGUCUGAUUAGCUUGUUGGCGGGGUAACGGCCCACCAAGGCAACGAUCAGUAGGGGUUCUGAGAGGAAGGUCCCCCACAUUGGAACUGAGACACGGUCCAAACUCCUACGGGAGGCAGCAGUGAGGAAUAUUGGUCAAUGGACGAGAGUCUGAACCAGC